AAUGGGGGCAACCCUGAUCCAGCCAUUCCGCGUGAGUGAAGAAGGCCUUCGGGUUGUAAAGCUCUUUCAGCAGGAACGAAACGGCUCUCUCUAACAUAGGGAGUUAAUGACGGUACCUGAAGAAGAAGCACCGGCUAACUACGUGCCAGCAGCCGCGGUAAUACGUAGGGUGCGAGCGUUAAUCGGAAUUACUGGGCGUAAAGCGUGCGCAGGCGGCGCCAUAAGACAGAUGUGAAAUCCCCGGGCUUAACCUGGGAACUGCGUUUGUGACUGUGGUGCUCGAGUGUGGCAGAGGGGGGUGGAAUUCCACGUGUAGCAGUGAAAUGCGUAGAGAUGUGGAGGAACACCGAUGGCGAAGGCAGCCCCCUGGGUCAACACUGACGCUCAUGCACGAAAGCGUGGGGAGCAAA
Molecule: ribosomal RNA, 410 nt
Filed under: uncultured bacterium
Lineage: Bacteria
Description: bacterial SSU rRNA
Rfam family: Bacterial small subunit ribosomal RNA
Source: RNAcentral